GAUGAAGAACGUAGCGAAAUGCGAUAAGUAAUGUGAAUUGCAGAAUUCAGUGAAUCAUCGAAUCUUUGAACGCACAUUGCGCCCGCCAGUAUUCUGGCGGGCAUGCCUGUUCGAGCGUCAUUUCAACCCUCAGGGCCCUUUUGGACCUGGCGUUGGGGCUCGGCCGCUACCCUGCGGCCGUCCCCGAAAGAUAGUGGCGGUCUCGCUGUAGCCUCCUCUGCGUAGUAGUUACAUCUCGCACUGGAACGCGGCGCGGCCAUGCCGUUAAACACCCCACUUCUCAAGGUUGACCUCGGAUCAGGUAGGAAUACCCGCUGAACUUAAGCAUAUCAAUAAGCGGAGA
RNAcentral lists this unclassified non-coding RNA (343 nucleotides) under soil metagenome. Its description in RNAcentral is "partial contains 5.8S ribosomal RNA, internal transcribed spacer 2, and large subunit ribosomal RNA". The stretch from base 1 to 120 matches the Rfam family "5.8S ribosomal RNA", at positions 35 to 154 of the family's 154-position model. The record is from RNAcentral.